CAGAGCCGCGGUAAAACGUAGGUGGCAAGCGUUGUCCGGAAUUAUUGGGCGUAAAGGGCUCGCAGGCGGUUUCUUAAGUCUGAUGUGAAAGCCCCCGGCUCAACCGGGGAGGGUCAUUGGAAACUGGGAAACUUGAGUGCAGAAGAGGAGAGUGGAAUUCCACGUGUAGCGGUGAAAUGCGUAGAGAUGUGGAGGAACACCAGUGGCGAAGGCGACUCUCUGGUCUGUAACUGACGCUGAGGAGCGAAAGCGUGGGGAGCAAACAGGAUUAGAUACCCGUGUAGUCCCUGUCUCUUAUACA
Molecule: ribosomal RNA, 301 nt
Filed under: uncultured bacterium
Lineage: Bacteria
Description: partial 16S ribosomal RNA
Rfam family: Bacterial small subunit ribosomal RNA
Source: RNAcentral